GGUUCCCUAGCCAAGUGGUAAGGCAACUGACUGCAACUUAGUGAUCACCAGUUCGAAUCUGGUGGGAACCUCCA
RNAcentral lists this transfer RNA (74 nucleotides) under Bacillota bacterium. RNAcentral's name for it is "tRNA-Cys". It matches the Rfam family "tRNA". Rfam says of the family: Transfer RNA (tRNA) molecules are approximately 80 nucleotides in length. Their secondary structure includes four short double-helical elements and three loops (D, anti-codon, and T loops). Further hydrogen bonds mediate the characteristic L-shaped molecular structure. tRNAs have two regions of fundamental functional importance: the anti-codon, which is responsible for specific mRNA codon recognition, and the 3' end, to which the tRNAs corresponding amino acid is attached (by aminoacyl-tRNA synthetases). tRNAs cope with the degeneracy of the genetic code in two manners: having more than one tRNA (with a specific anti-codon) for a particular amino acid; and 'wobble' base-pairing, i.e. permitting non-standard base-pairing at the 3rd anti-codon position. RNAcentral also lists the same sequence under 2 other names. Lineage: Bacteria; Bacillati; Bacillota. The record is from RNAcentral.